GAUACUUGUUAGUUUAGAACGCUGCGUAUGAAGAUUUAUAUGUCCAAACGGUACUAAGUUUACAGAUACCCUCGGAGAAUCUACUGUAUCAUGUUCAAUGGACAAUGGACUGGACCUGGAGGCCCAGCUGGCCAGUAAAGAAAGGGAGUGGAAGGAGCUCCAGGCUGUAAGGGUUCAUCAGCUGGAGAGUUCCCUCAAAAAGGCCCAGGAGGAAUGCUCCUCUCUCAGGGAACAGUACCAACAACUGUGGGAAGACUUCCAGUUCAACCUGGCCAUCCUGUGUGAACGAGACAGAGAGCUGGAGAGAUAUGAUGUUAUCACUGCCAGAGCUUUGAGUGUGGAGCAAAACAGGCAGGAGGACUUGAAUCAGCUCCGUAUGCAGGUCGCCAAGCUGCAGGAGCAGAGAGCCAGAGAGGCUGAGGAGAGACAGGAGGAGCUCAGUAAAAGUCAGCACGGUGCUGCUCAGCUCAGGCUGCACCUGGACAAACUCAAGUGUUCUACGGCUGAUGAAAUGAAAAAGCAAACAGAGGAGAAUGAGAGAGAGAAAUGGGAUUUGCAGCGCAGAAUACAAGAGACAAAGGGAGAGAUGACCCUACAGAGACAGGAGAUGGCAGCAGCUUUUGACAGUGAGCUCAAACAGCAGAAACACAAGUUCACCUUGAAAAUGGAUGAGAUGCGUGCUAUGGUGCUGUCUCAUGAGCUCAUGGUGAAGCUGCUGUCUAAAGAGACUGAAGUUUACUGCCAGGCUCAGCUUCAGGCUACAGAGGCUCUCAAAGCAUCUGAGCAGUUGUGUCAACAGAUACAAACCCAGCUGCAGCACAAAGACCAGGAGAUCAAAGAUCUCACUGCUAUCAAGGACCACAGGAUAAAGGAGUUUAAGGAUGAGGUGAAACGGAUGGAGACCAAACUGAAGAAGGAGGAGGAUGACAACAUUAAGAAAUAUGAGAAUUUGGUCCAAGCUCUGAAGGAGUGUGAUGGUCAGCUGGAGGCUCAGUGCCAGGCCCAUACAAAGCAGCUGCAGAAGGCUGAGAAACACAUUGUCAAACUACAGGAGAAGGUGGAAGUUCUGGCUGCACAGCUACGCUGCACACAGAAAGACCAGCAGGAGGCCAUGGCACAGAAAGAUGAGACAAUCCAGAGGCUUUGCACAGAGGUAGAAACAACCCGAACUGGCUGGAACAAAUACAUCAGUCAUGUCUCCAGUGAAAUGGUUGUCAAGGAUACAGAGAUGAUUGCCCUGCAGGAGAGAGAAACCAAACUUAGGACUGAGCUGGAGAGGAGCAGGGAGGAGUUGGAGAGUUACAAGCUGCAGCUGAGUGCUGGUCUGAAGAGAGAAAGGGCCUUAGAACAGAUGCAAGUCCAGUUGGAGCUGGAGUGGCAGAGACGCUGUGACAACAUGAAGGCCGAACAUUACCUUGCCAAUGAACAGCUAAUACAAGACCUGACCCAAGCUAGAGAUCAGACAAAAGCUGAGCUGAAGGAGAGAGAACAAGAGCUGCAGGAUUUGACUGUCUUACUGCGUUCUGUUAAAAUGGAGAGAGACCAGGCAAUACAGGGUCUUAUAUCAAAGGUAGACUCUCUGGCAUCAGAAGAAAUCCGUUGUCUGCAGGAGCAGAACACCAUCCUGCGGGCUGUGGUUUCCCAGAUGAGGAAGGACAUGGAGGGUCUAAGUCAUCCACCACCCCAUCCACAGGCCUCCCCUCCUCAGCCAGUUCAGCAUCCAGAAGCCCCUGUCACCAUCUCCAUCACCCCUACAGCCAACACUCAGAUGGCCACUGAACCACCUCCCCAGUCCACUGGCAUGUCCCCCAAAGUAACAACAGAGAAACAAGCUAACACCUGGGUGUUGACAAAGCAGGAGGACAGAGUGGUACAGACACAGUCUGCUCUCGCCAACGUCACAAAACAGAGCGCACUGGUAAAACAGCUCCUAGAGGAGAACCGGUGUUUGCCGCAGCAGCGGACCUCAAGUCUGUUUGACAGUGUCCAGGCUGCAAGAGGCAACCCCUCUCUCCUGCAUACCAGGCUGAAGCAGGCAGCGUCCUGUAUUGCCCGUCUGAGCAAAGAGAAACAGCAGCUGAUAGAGAUGGGCAACCGCCUUCGAGCCCAGAUCACCACUCCUGGACCACAGGAACCAUUGGAGCCAGAGAAGGACUCCUCCACAGAGAAGCAAGGAGACCAACAUGACCAGCUGUCUGCUCUGGAACAGCUGCAGUAUCAGCUCACCACACAGGAACUGCAGUAUGCUCUGAGACAGAGGGUUGGCACUGUUGCUGAACAGCUCCUCCCUCCUACCACCAAAGGGGCUGCCAAUCCUUGGCCCCAGGGCCACAAAACCAUGGACAGGCCUGAGAGCUCCAAGAACAAAGAGAACACUCCUCCACUCAGCCAGUCACAAAGCUCACUGGAAAUGGGGGGGGCACAGCCCCACUCCGGUCUGCCCAGGUCUCUGUUUUCAUCAGAGGAAUCACUGAGAUCCUUAAAGGAGCUGUGGGAGAUGCUGGACCAUGUACCCAGUCCAUCUAUUUACUCAGAAGUGUCCAAACAUCCUGAGGCAUGAGCACCUUGCUCAAGGGGACCUGAACUAGUGACGUUAAGCAACCUCAUGGCCUUGAUGUUAUAACAGUGGCGUGUCAGUUUCAGUGAGGUCUCAGUCCACAAUUCUGGUAAAGGUGAGCUGAGCAGGAGGGAGGUGGCUGGUGGUGCUGGAGUCCGGAUGAUGGUGCAUGGUAUCAAUGCUCCGAUUCAUAGCCAGUCAUAGUCUAAAACACAACCAAACACUACAAAGAGCAUCAGGCCUGGAGCAUCUGGCAAGAUCAACAAGAUAAGAAACUACAAUGUUAAAGACUGACUCAUGCACAGAUGUCUGUAAGUAUUUUGGUCCUGUUCUACUCAGCCUGUGGCAACUGGUGCAUGAAAUCUCCUGUGGCUAUGGAGGAGCUUUGUCAAGUCUGGUGUCAUGAAUUACAUUAACUGAAUGAAUUGACAGAAAGCCUGCAUUGCAAACUGUGGAGGGAGGUGUUAAUGUAAAAACUGUUUUAUUGAAUGCAUUUAUGGUCCCAUACCAGGACGUGAAGGUCAGGAUAUCUUAGCCUCUGCUGCUUUGAUUUGUACCAUUAAUUUAGAAUCCUCCUCUAGUGAGUUCACCAGAUUUAUAGCAGUAGGUUGCUCUUACAUCCAAUAUGUACAGAGUUUUUAUUUAAUAAUUGCUUCCUCCAAAUGAUCACAAAGGCAUAAUUCUUCAUUACAUUUUAGACUAAAACAUAUGGUAAGAACAUAUAUUUAUAUUUUUACUGCUCCUUCCAACAUCAGAGCUCAAGUAACUGAGCAGUUGAAGACCUAUAAGCUUUAUUGUGUUAAUUUUUUAAUGUAUGCAUUGUUCAAGGCCAUCCUGUAUGUUUUAUUGCCUUGUAAUAAACACAUUUU
Toxotes jaculatrix (banded archerfish) is the source of this 3426-nucleotide RNA transcript. It is a transcript of the gene named coiled-coil domain containing 57, with no coding region annotated. NCBI's taxonomy places the organism in Eukaryota, Metazoa, Chordata, Actinopteri, Toxotidae. The record is from RefSeq and is a predicted model, not a curated record. The transcript has 21 exons.